UACGAAGGGACCAAGCGUUGUUCGGAUUUACUGGGCGUAAAGGGCGCGUAGGCGGCUUGUCAAGUCACUUGUGAAAUCUCUGGGCUUAACUCAGAACGGCCAAGUGAUACUGCAAUGCUAGAGUGCAGAAGGGGCAAUCGGAAUUCUUGGUGUAGCGGUGAAAUGCGUAGAUAUCAAGAGGAACACCUGAGGUGAAGACGGGUUGCCGGGCUGACACUGACGCUGAGGCGCGAAAGCCAGGGGAGCAAACGGG
RNAcentral lists this ribosomal RNA (253 nucleotides) under uncultured bacterium. Its description in RNAcentral is "partial 16S ribosomal RNA". It matches the Rfam family "Bacterial small subunit ribosomal RNA", at positions 524 to 776 of the family's 1533-position model. The record is from RNAcentral.